Molecule: unclassified non-coding RNA, 424 nt
Filed under: soil metagenome
Description: partial contains 5.8S ribosomal RNA, internal transcribed spacer 2, and large subunit ribosomal RNA
Rfam family: 5.8S ribosomal RNA (bases 1-120)
Source: RNAcentral
GAUGAAGAACGCAGCGAAAUGCGAUAAGUAAUGUGAAUUGCAGAAUUCAGUGAAUCAUCGAAUCUUUGAACGCACCUUGCGCUCCCUGGUAUUCCGGGGAGCACGCCUGUUCGAGUGUCGCGAUAUUCUUCAAGCCUUGGAUGGAUUUUUUUUUUGUCUGUCCUUGGGCUUGGUUGUUGGGCUCUGCCGUGUCCUUCAUUGGGACGGCUGGCCUUAAAAGCAUUAGCCGAUCCUCGUGUGGUACUGGUUCUACUCAGCGUGAUAACAAUCUGAUCGUUGAGGACAUCUUCUGGAUGGCCAGUCAUCAUUUGGGUUGCUUCUAAACCGGUUUCGCAGAUUGCUCAAUCUGUGUGCCACUUUUCAGCUUUGACCUCGAAUCAGGUGGGACUACCCGCUGAACUUAAGCAUAUCAAUAAGCGGAGGA